CAGAUAUGGAUGACUACAUCUCC
Molecule: small nuclear RNA, 23 nt
Filed under: Arabidopsis thaliana (thale cress)
Lineage: Eukaryota; Viridiplantae; Streptophyta; Magnoliopsida; Brassicales; Brassicaceae
Description: snRNA_17692
Source: RNAcentral